This 27-nucleotide non-coding RNA is filed under the name Cricetulus griseus (Chinese hamster). Lineage: Eukaryota; Metazoa; Chordata; Mammalia; Rodentia; Cricetidae. The record is from RNAcentral.
UUCCCCGUCAUAUCGACGAUGCUGAUC